RNAcentral lists this small RNA (82 nucleotides) under Flavobacterium weaverense. RNAcentral describes it as "Flavo-1 RNA". It matches the Rfam family "Flavo-1 RNA". Lineage: Bacteria; Pseudomonadati; Bacteroidota; Flavobacteriia; Flavobacteriales; Flavobacteriaceae. The record is from RNAcentral.
AAGUAGCCCCGAUUGCAAUGAAAAUCCUUUUUGUGAGCGUACCAGGCGCGCAAAAAGAUUGUAAUGUAAAGCGGGACAAUUA